AUUGAACGCUGGCGGCAUGCCUUACACAUGCAAGUCGAACGGCAGCACGGGUGCUUGCACCUGGUGGCGAGUGGCGAACGGGUGAGUAAUACAUCGGAACAUGUCCUGUAGUGGGGGAUAGCCCGGCGAAAGCCGGAUUAAUACCGCAUACGAUCUACGGGUGAAAGCGGGGGACCUUCGGGCCUCGCGCUAUAGGGUUGGCCGAUGGCUGAUUAGCUAGUUGGUGGGGUAAAGGCCUACCAAGGCGACGAUCAGUAGCUGGUCUGAGAGGACGACCAGCCACACUGGGACUGAGACACGGCCCAGACUCCUACGGGAGGCAGCAGUGGGGAAUUUUGGACAAUGGGCGAAAGCCUGAUCCAGCAAUGCCGCGUGUGUGAAGAAGGCCUUCGGGUUGUAAAGCACUUUUGUCCGGAAAGAAAUCCUUGGCCCUAAUACGGUCGGGGGAUGACGGUACCGGAAGAAUAAGCACCGGCUAACUACG
This 484-nucleotide ribosomal RNA is filed under the name uncultured bacterium. RNAcentral's name for it is "partial 16S ribosomal RNA". It matches the Rfam family "Bacterial small subunit ribosomal RNA", at positions 30 to 505 of the family's 1533-position model. The record is from RNAcentral.